GAACGCUAGCUACAGGCUUAACACAUGCAAGUCGAGGGGCAGCAUGAACUUAGCUUGCUAAGUUUGAUGGCGACCGGCGCACGGGUGAGUAACACGUAUCCAACCUGCCCAUCACUUGGGGAUAACCUUGCGAAAGUAAGACUAAUACCCAAUGAUAUCUCUAGAAGACAUCUGAAAGAGAUUAAAGAUUUAUCGGUUACAGAUGAACAUGCGUUCCAUUAGCUGGUUGGCGGGGUAACGGCCCACCAAGGCAACGAUGGAUAGGGGUUCUGAGAGGAAGGUCCCCCACACUGGUACUGAGACACGGACCAGACUCCUACGGGAGGCAGCAGUGAGGAAUAUUGGUCAAUGGGCGAGAGCCUGAACCAGCCAAGUCGCGUGGAGGAAGACUGCCCUACGGGUUGUAAACUCCUUUUACCUGGGAAUAACGGGCGCUACGCGUAGCGCUGUGCAUGUACCGGGAGAAUAAGCAUCGGCUAAUUCCGUG
This 487-nucleotide ribosomal RNA is filed under the name uncultured bacterium. Its description in RNAcentral is "bacterial SSU rRNA". It matches the Rfam family "Bacterial small subunit ribosomal RNA", at positions 31 to 507 of the family's 1533-position model. The record is from RNAcentral.